This 253-nucleotide ribosomal RNA is filed under the name uncultured bacterium. Its description in RNAcentral is "partial 16S ribosomal RNA". It matches the Rfam family "Bacterial small subunit ribosomal RNA", at positions 524 to 776 of the family's 1533-position model. The record is from RNAcentral.
UACGAAGGGGGCUAGCGUUGCUCGGAAUCACUGGGCGUAAAGGGUGCGUAGGCGGUGGAGUAAGUCGGAUGUGAAAUACCAUAGCUUAACUAUGGAACUGCACUCGAUACUACUUUGCUAGAGUAAGACAGAGGUGAGUGGAACUGAGGGUGGAGCGGUGAAAUGCGUUGAUAUCCUCAGGAACACCGGUGGCGAAGGCGACUCACUGGGUCUUUACUGACGCUGAUGCACGAAAGCUAGGGUAGCAAACGGG